Long non-coding RNA from Mauremys reevesii (Reeves's turtle), 446 nucleotides. RefSeq lists it as uncharacterized. The transcript has 3 exons. Lineage: Eukaryota; Metazoa; Chordata; Testudines; Geoemydidae. The record is from RefSeq and is a predicted model, not a curated record.
AGAGAAGGAGUGAGGCAGUUGUAGUCACUCUGAAAUUAGGUAACAAGGAAACCAGAAGACUUGAGGAGGAAAUCUAGGGGGAGAAUAAGCCCUGAGAUCCUCUCUGAAUUAGAAAAGUCUGGCAGAAGGCCUGGUGAGAGAUGAACCAGUCAUGGAAAGUGGAGCAAGCUCUGUUGCUUCCAUAAUAAAGUGAAGCAGCAUCAGACUAGAUAUUGAGAGGACAACUCCAGGAAAACUAGAACUCUGGGUCUUUUUACUGCAAUGAGGUCCUCAUAGGCAAAGAGGUCUGCCUGCACAGAGGUACUGCAACAUUGAGGCCCAGAUCAUUUUCUCUCUGGCUUUGGAUACUCUUCUUCUUUUUGUUAAGAUUACUGAUGUAGGGCUAAUUUUACAGAUGUUCCUGGAGGGAGGAAAAAACCUCUGCAACAUCUAAGGAGAGACAAAAG